GAUGAAGAACGUAGCGAAAUGCGAUAAGUAAUGUGAAUUGCAGAAUUCAGUGAAUCAUCGAAUCUUUGAACGCACAUUGAGCCCGCCAGUAUUCUGGCGGGCAGGCCUGUUCGAGCGUCAUUUCAACCAUCAAGCCCCCGGCUUGUGUUGGGGACCUGCGGCUGCCGCAGGCCCUGAAAAGCAGUGGCGGGCUCGCUGUCACACCGAGCGUAGUAGCAUACAUCUCGCUCUGGGCGUGCUGCGGGUUCCGGCCGUUAAACCACCUUCAUAACCCAAGGUUGACCUCGGAUCAGGUAGGAAGACCCGCUGAACUUAAGCAUAUCAAUAAGCGGAGGA
Molecule: unclassified non-coding RNA, 336 nt
Filed under: soil metagenome
Description: partial contains 5.8S ribosomal RNA, internal transcribed spacer 2, and large subunit ribosomal RNA
Rfam family: 5.8S ribosomal RNA (bases 1-120)
Source: RNAcentral